UCGUAUCGGGCCAGGUCAAUUGAGCCCACCACCCAGGCUCACGACAGGCAGAAGAGAAAAAAAGGGGCACCCGUGAACCAGCCGAUUCCCCAUUCUCUCCACCGCGUCGUCGCCUCCGACGGCGCCGCCGUUCCCCUUUCAUCUCGACCUCGGGCAAGUAGCUGGCAUCGCUCGCCGUCGUCGCUUCCAGGCGAGGCCAUCGGCGGCCGCCGUCGCUUCUUCCUAGAGACCGCCGCCGUCUCCCCACACCCGCGCGGCACCCCGUCUUGCCCUCUCCCUCUAGGGUUUUCUUGGGCGUCGAAUCGCUAAAAGCUUCAAUUAAAGAUGGCUUAUAUGUAACAACAUGAGCAGUUUGCCAGCAUCAGAUCGGCUUUGCAUCCUUUCUUCUUGAGUUCCGGCGUCACAUCGUGUUUGCAUUCUUAAACAUUUCAUCUCGAUUAUUUGUUUUUCUUCACCCAUUAUAUUUGCUCAUAGUUUAUCGCUUUCCUUUCAU
Molecule: long non-coding RNA, 493 nt
Filed under: Oryza sativa Indica Group (long-grained rice)
Lineage: Eukaryota; Viridiplantae; Streptophyta; Magnoliopsida; Poales; Poaceae
Description: lncRNA OsPr106_04g0009740
Source: RNAcentral